CGCGUAGGCGGGCCUUCAAGUCGGUUGUGAAAACUUCGAGCUUAACUCGGAGCCUGCAUCCGAUACUGUUGGUCUUGAGUACAGGAGAGGAAAGUGGAAUUCCAGGUGUAGCGGUGAAAUGCGUAGAUAUCUGGAAGAACACCAGUAGCGAAGGCGGCUUUCUGGACUGAUACUGACGCUAAAGCGCGAAGGCUUGGGGAGCAAACA
This 207-nucleotide ribosomal RNA is filed under the name uncultured bacterium. RNAcentral describes it as "partial 16S ribosomal RNA". It matches the Rfam family "Bacterial small subunit ribosomal RNA", at positions 568 to 774 of the family's 1533-position model. The record is from RNAcentral.